GACGAACGCUGGCGGCGUGCUUAACACAUGCAAGUCGAACGAAGAGCGAUGGAAGCUUGCUUCUAUCAAUCUUAGUGGCGAACGGGUGAGUAACGCGUAAUCAACCUGCCCUUCAGAGGGGGACAACAGUUGGAAACGACUGCUAAUACCGCAUACGAUCUAAUCUCGGCAUCGAGGAUAGAUGAAAGGUGGCCUCUACAUGUAAGCUAUCACUGAAGGAGGGGAUUGCGUCUGAUUAGCUAGUUGGAGGGGUAACGGCCCACCAAGGCGAUGAUCAGUAGCCGGUCUGAGAGGAGGGACGGCCACAUUGGGACUGAGACACGGCUCAGACUCCUACGGGAGGCAGCAGUGGGGAAUCUUCCGCAAUGGACGAAAGUCUGACGGAGCAACGCCGCGUGAGUGAUGACGGCCUUCGGGUUGUAAAGCUCUGUUAAUCGGGACGAAAGGCCUUCUUGCGAAUAGUGAGAAGGAUUGACGGUACCGGAAUAGAAAGCCACGGCUAACUACGUG
This 510-nucleotide ribosomal RNA is filed under the name uncultured bacterium. RNAcentral describes it as "partial 16S ribosomal RNA". It matches the Rfam family "Bacterial small subunit ribosomal RNA", at positions 28 to 507 of the family's 1533-position model. The record is from RNAcentral.